GGGUGUGAGGGCGAUCUGGCUGUGACAUCGGUCACCUCACGCACUAGUCACCAGGGUUGAUUGAGCUAAUCUGGCUGGCUAGGCAGAUGACCCCUUUCUCCCUCGCUGCUCCAAUUGUGUUACUCCUGAAGCUGUGCGCUUGGUCAAAGAGAAUGAUCACCCCCAAGACAGGAGGAUUGUUUUCUCUGUCAGGGUUAUGGGAGUAGCUGCACCCCACUGCUGGAACCUGCAAACAAGCUCUCCAAAACUCCUUAAAUAAAUAUUUGUUGAACAGGGGCCAGGGAUUUCGUUUAAUGGUGCCUUGCAGGCCUUGUUAGUUCAAGGUCCUG
Fukomys damarensis (Damara mole-rat) is the source of this 329-nucleotide unclassified non-coding RNA. Its record names the gene 7SK. It matches the Rfam family "7SK RNA". Rfam says of the family: 7SK was discovered as an abundant small nuclear RNA in the mid-70s but a possible function has only recently been suggested. Two independent studies have found that 7SK RNA binds the CDK9/cyclin T complex (known as elongation factor P-TEFb). Lineage: Eukaryota; Metazoa; Chordata; Mammalia; Rodentia; Bathyergidae. The record is from Ensembl.